AGAAGUGUUUCUCACAAGCAGAGAGUCAGAGUGGACGUGAGGAUGGGACACACUUUGUUUGCUGUGUUGGGGCUUUUCUUGCUGAAUAUUCUCCUCUACUGUGGACACGCUCAAGAUGUCCCUCGUCCUGUCCUCACAGUGUCUCCAUCAUGGCCGAGUCCUGGAGACUCAGUGACUCUGACCUGCAGUGUUGAACCUCCGUCUGCAGGAUGGAGGUUCUUCUGGUAUAAGGCUGUUCACAAACUGUCACUG
This is a long non-coding RNA of Pungitius pungitius (ninespine stickleback), 252 nucleotides long. RefSeq lists it as uncharacterized. The record is from RefSeq and is a predicted model, not a curated record. NCBI's taxonomy places the organism in Eukaryota, Metazoa, Chordata, Actinopteri, Perciformes, Gasterosteidae. The transcript has 3 exons.